This 258-nucleotide long non-coding RNA is filed under the name Trifolium pratense (red clover). RNAcentral's name for it is "long non-coding RNA (TPRA_LNC009790)". The record is from RNAcentral. Lineage: Eukaryota; Viridiplantae; Streptophyta; Magnoliopsida; Fabales; Fabaceae.
UCUCACUCAUUGAAAUUUGAAACCCAGAAACUCUUCAUCGUUUCUCCAUCGUUCACCUUCAUUCAUCGCAAUUGAACCUUCUCGUCAGAACUCGUUCUUUAGGUAUUUGGAUUUCUCUUAUUCUUCUUUGAUUUCUAAUUUUAAAUUUGCACUCUAAGAUUUUGGAUUUCUUUUGCAUUAAAAGAUGUCGGUGUUCUUUGUGUUCUGUGAUUUCUUCACUAAACUUAUGCAUUUGUUCAAGUAUCUAUAUACCACUAC